UCUCCUGGAAACGGGUGGUAAUGCCGGAUGUUCCACAUGAGCGCAUGCGAGUGUGGGAAAGGCUUUUUGCGGCAUGGGAUGGGGUCGCGUCCUAUCAGCUUGUUGGUGGGGUAACGGCCUACCAAGGCGUUGACGGGUAGCCGGCCUGAGAGGGCGACCGGCCACAUUGGGACUGAGAUACGGCCCAGACUCCUACGGGAGGCAGCAGUGGGGAAUAUUGCACAAUGGGCGCAAGCCUGAUGCAGCGACGCCGCGUGCGGGAUGGAGGCCUUCGGGUUGUAAACCGCUUUUGUUCAAGGGCAAGGCACGGUUUCGGCCGUGUUGAGUGGAUUGUUCGAAUAAGCACCGGCUAACUACGUGCCAGCAGCCGCGGUAAUACGUAGGGUGCAAGCGUUAUCCGGAUUUAUUGGGCGUAAAGGGCUCGUAGGCGGUUCGUCGCGUCCGGUGUGAAAGUCCAUCGCUUAACGGUGGAUCCGCGCCGGGUACGGGCGGGCUUGAGUGCGGUAGGGGAGACUGGGAAUUCCCGGUGUAACGGUGGAAUGUGUAGAUAUCGGGAAGAACACCA
Molecule: ribosomal RNA, 565 nt
Filed under: uncultured Bifidobacterium sp.
Lineage: Bacteria; Bacillati; Actinomycetota; Actinomycetes; Bifidobacteriales; Bifidobacteriaceae
Description: bacterial SSU rRNA
Rfam family: Bacterial small subunit ribosomal RNA
Source: RNAcentral